RNAcentral lists this non-coding RNA (53 nucleotides) under Vibrio caribbeanicus. RNAcentral's name for it is "L31-Gammaproteobacteria ribosomal protein leader". It matches the Rfam family "L31-Gammaproteobacteria ribosomal protein leader". RNAcentral also lists the same sequence under 1 other name. The record is from RNAcentral. Lineage: Bacteria; Pseudomonadati; Pseudomonadota; Gammaproteobacteria; Vibrionales; Vibrionaceae.
CGUGUGGUGUCCGGCAAAGAAUCGGAUAGCGACACGGCCUAUAUUUUAGAGGU